CGAACCCGGGCGGGAGAGUCCCGUGUCCCGACCCCGCUGAGGGGGGCGAGGACGACGGGCGCCGGAGGAGCAAGCACCCCGCCAAUCUCUCAGGCACCCACACCGCUCGGGCGAG
This 115-nucleotide non-coding RNA is filed under the name Pseudonocardia thermophila. Its description in RNAcentral is "Glycine sequence". It matches the Rfam family "Glycine riboswitch aptamer". From Rfam's summary of the family: This family represents the bacterial glycine riboswitch. Glycine riboswitches usually consist of two metabolite-binding aptamers domains with similar structures in tandem. The record is from Rfam by way of RNAcentral. Lineage: Bacteria; Bacillati; Actinomycetota; Actinomycetes; Pseudonocardiales; Pseudonocardiaceae.